This 492-nucleotide ribosomal RNA is filed under the name uncultured bacterium. Its description in RNAcentral is "bacterial SSU rRNA". It matches the Rfam family "Bacterial small subunit ribosomal RNA", at positions 355 to 861 of the family's 1533-position model. The record is from RNAcentral.
UGGGGAAUCUUGGACAAUGGGGGCAACCCUGAUCCAGCCAUGCCGCGUGAGUGAUGAAGGCCUUAGGGUCGUAAAGCUCUUUCGCCUGUGAAGAUAAUGACGGUAGCAGGUAAAGAAACCCCGGCUAACUCCGUGCCAGCAGCCGCGGUAAUACGGAGGGGGUUAGCGUUGUUCGGAAUUACUGGGCGUAAAGCGCACGUAGGCGGACCAGAAAGUUGGGGGUGAAAUCCCGGGGGCUCAACCCCGGAACUGCCUCCAAAACUAUUGGUCUAGAGUUCGAGAGAGGUGAGUGGAAUUCCAAGUGUAGAGGUGAAAUUCGUAGAUAUUUGGAGGAACACCAGUGGCGAAGGCGGCUCACUGGCUCGAUACUGACGCUGAGGUGCGAAAGUGUGGGGAGCAAAACAGGAUUAGAUACCCUGGUAGUCCACACCGUAAAACGAUGGAAUGCCAGUCGUCGGGUAGCAUGCUAUUCGGUGACACACCUAACGGAUU